UUUGGCCGCCUCCUUCUGUCAAACGAAUGCAUCUAAACUCGCAAUAGGGCUAUUUAUAGGUGAGGAGCGCAACAGAAAACAGGUCCAAGCCCAGCAGACAGCCGCCCGACGGAACAAGUGUGGCGCCCGACAGUUUCCCACAAAUUGCACAACCGUCCGACGGUAGGGGUCUACCGCCCAGCGGUUUCCCUCAAAUCGCAAAUCCUCCCAGCGCCAACGCCAGGUGCCUACUCCUUGCCCUGGACUGCCCGGCGGUGGAAUUUGCCGUCAGGCGGUGCGUCGACUCUGCAAUUCUUUAAUUUUCCUCUCUUUUCUUGAGUCUAUGACCUUUGUCUUCAACUCCAUUCUUCACUUUCUCAAAAUCGCUACAAAACAAUGCAAAAC
RNAcentral lists this long non-coding RNA (384 nucleotides) under Vigna radiata. RNAcentral describes it as "long non-coding RNA (VRAD_LNC014895)". The record is from RNAcentral. Lineage: Eukaryota; Viridiplantae; Streptophyta; Magnoliopsida; Fabales; Fabaceae.